Molecule: ribosomal RNA, 446 nt
Filed under: uncultured bacterium
Lineage: Bacteria
Description: partial 16S ribosomal RNA
Rfam family: Bacterial small subunit ribosomal RNA
Source: RNAcentral
CCUACGGGUGGCAGCAGUCGAGAAUCAUUCACAAUGGGGGAAACCCUGAUGCUGCGACGCCGCGUGGGGGAAUGAAGGUCUUCGGAUUGUAAACCCCUGUCAUGUGGGAGCAAAUUAAAAAGAUAGUACCACAAGAGGAAGAGACGGCUAACUCUGUGCCAGCAGCCGCGGUAAUACAGAGGUCUCAAGCGUUGUUCGGAAUCACUGGGCGUAAAGCGUGCGUAGGCUGUUUCGUAAGUCGUGUGUGAAAGGCGCGGGCUCAACCCGCGGACGGCACAUGAUACUGCGAGACUAGAGUAAGGGAAGGGGAACCGGAAUUCUCGGUGUAGCAGUGAAAUGCGUAGAUAUCGAGAGGAACACUCGUGGCGAAGGCGGGUUCCUGGACAUUAACUGACGCUGAGGCACGAAGGCCAGGGGAGCGAAAGGGAUUAGAUACCCCUGUAGUC